This 483-nucleotide ribosomal RNA is filed under the name uncultured bacterium. RNAcentral's name for it is "bacterial SSU rRNA". It matches the Rfam family "Bacterial small subunit ribosomal RNA", at positions 32 to 525 of the family's 1533-position model. The record is from RNAcentral.
AAUCAACGCUGGCGGCGUGCCUCAGACAUGCAAGUCGAACGAUUAAAGCUCUCUUCGGAGAGUGUAUAGAGUGGCGCACGGGUGAGUAACACGUAAGUAAUCUACCCUCGAGUGGGGAAUAACAACCGGAAACGGUUGCUAAUACCGCAUAAUGCAGCGGCACCGCAAGGUGACAGUUGUUAAAGAUUUAUCGCUUGAGGAGGAGCUUGCGGCAGAUUAGCUAGUUGGUAGGGUAACGGCUUACCAAGGCUACGAUCUGUAACCGGUCUAAGAGGACGGUCGGUCACACUGACACUGAAUAACGGGUCAGACUCCUACGGGAGGCAGCAGUCGGGAAUUUUGGGCAAUGGGCGAAAGCCUGACCCAGCAACGCCGCGUGAAGGAUGAAGUAUUUCGGUAUGUAAACUUCGAAAGAAUAGGAAGAAUUAAUGACGGUACUAUUUAUAAGGUCCGGCUAACUACGUGCCAGCAGCCGCGGUAAAG